RNAcentral lists this long non-coding RNA (609 nucleotides) under Canis lupus familiaris (dog). Its description in RNAcentral is "lncRNA (ENSCAFG00040025292.1)". The record is from RNAcentral. Lineage: Eukaryota; Metazoa; Chordata; Mammalia; Carnivora; Canidae.
AUGAAGCAAGUCCAGAUGGCACAAGAUACCAAGAAACCCUGGGGGUGCCCCUCUAAGGGCAGCCAGAGUGAGGAGGGCACGGUGCCCUUCUGGAUGGAUGGCCGGAUGAGCACAGAACCACCAACCUGUAAAGAAGCUGCAAAGAUCUUGAGCUCCUGGAUUUUAAGCGUGAACCCCUUGGUGAAGCAAGAGCUCCAGGAUGGCUGCCCGGCUUCGUGUCCACGCGUCCCUGUUCACCAGUGAGCCUUCCGACGCCAGGAUUCGUCUGCCCAAAGAUCCCCAUUUGAGGAAGAAAUUGAGCGGCAGAGGGUGGAAGUGCCUCCUAUGGUUGCAGCUUGGCCACGCCUGAGUCUAUCGAUAGAGAAACAAAUAAAGGUAAAUCCAUGUUGCUUCUGGGAGAUUGUGGCAUUUUCCACAUUUCUAUGUGAAAUGUCUCUUUCAAUCCCAGACCCCCUCUGCCUUCCCAAGUGGCUCACAUCAAAAUAACUGGAGGCCGACUCCCAGACGAGAACCGCAAGCGAGUUAGAGACCCCAGCUGCGGCACCCCUGCUCCAGCACCGGUGCUUCUGGCUGCCAGGGGAGGGGACAGCUGACCCCGGUAGCUCUGGA